UAAUCUAUGUUGGUGUAUCGUGUGGCAUUUCAAGCAUUUUACUGGCCAUUAUUGCGACUUUUGUCAUUCUAGUGGUACGACGAAGAAGGCAAAAGAAUAAACAAGGAUCGGUCGAAAAUAACGGAUACAUUUUGGAAUCUUACGAGAACUUGGAAACCGUUCCAAAGAAUAAAUACAAAAUUAAAGGCAAAGAUACACCAGG
Long non-coding RNA from Ruditapes philippinarum (Manila clam), 202 nucleotides. RefSeq lists it as uncharacterized. The record is from RefSeq and is a predicted model, not a curated record. NCBI's taxonomy places the organism in Eukaryota, Metazoa, Mollusca, Bivalvia, Venerida, Veneridae. The transcript is spliced from 3 exons.